UUGAACGCUGGCGGCAGGCCUAACACAUGCAAGUUCGAGCGCGAAAGCACUUCGGUGUGAGUAGAGCGGCGGACGGGUGAGUAACGCGUAGGAAUCUACCUAGUAGUGGGGGACAACUCGGGGAAACUCGAGCUAAUACCGCAUAAGCCCUACGGGGGAAAGCGGGGGACCUUCGGGCCUCGUGCUAUUAGAUGAGCCUGCGUUGGAUUAGCUAGUUGGUGGGGUAAAGGCCUACCAAGGCGACGAUCCAUAGCUGGUCUGAGAGGAUGAUCAGCCACACCGGGACUGAGACACGGCCCGGACUCCUACGGGAGGCAGCAGUGGGGAAUAUUGCGCAAUGGGCGAAAGCCUGACGCAGCCAUGCCGCGUGUGUGAAGAAGGCCUUCGGGUUGUAAAGCACUUUCAAUUGGGAGGAAAGGUUCACGGUUAAUAACCGUGAGCUGUGACGUUACCUUUAGAAGAAGCACCGGCUAACUCCGUGCCAGCAGCCGCGGUAAUACGGAGGGUGCGAGCGUUAAUCGGAAUUACUGGGCGUAAAGCGCGCGUAGGUGGUCUGUUAAGUCGGAUGUGAAAGCCCCGGGCUCAACCUGGGAACUGCAUUCGAUACUGGCAGACUAGAGUGCGAGAGAGGGAGGUAGAAUUCCAUGUGUAGCGGUGAAAUGCGUAGAUAUGUGGAGGAAUCACCAGUGGCGAAGGCGGCCUCCUGGCUCGACACUGA
This 718-nucleotide ribosomal RNA is filed under the name gamma proteobacterium IMCC14827. RNAcentral's name for it is "bacterial SSU rRNA". It matches the Rfam family "Bacterial small subunit ribosomal RNA", at positions 29 to 743 of the family's 1533-position model. Lineage: Bacteria; Pseudomonadati; Pseudomonadota; Gammaproteobacteria. The record is from RNAcentral.